CAUGUCGAGUGUUACUUGUUUCCAAAGAUCUUUUAACACAUUAAAUGAAGCUAAAAACAAUAGUUAUUAGUAGUCACACAUUUUCCCACUCAUUUAAAUUAUCUUUAGUUUGAAGCAUAUUAUAGAGAUUUCCAGUUUGUCGGUUCUAAACUUUGAGAUAUUAAGCUUGAUUGAUAACCCUAUUGUGAAAUUACAAUUAUUCAAACGUAUGUAUUUCUUAAUCGUUGUAAUAAAUUUAAGGAGGUUUAUCCCAUUGCUAACGGCCCAUAUUUCUUAAUAAAUUACGUCACAUUGUUGACUCCACUGCUGUAGCUUUAUAAUACGUACGGCAUAUAUAAAUACACACAUACAUCUUUCCAACUUCCUACUACGCGCUUUCUAAUUAACUUCUCUACAAUAAAAUGAUGUAUACAACGGAUAAAGUGGCUAAAACAGGUUCUAUGGGUCACUUUUUUGUUUUGUUUGAAUUACGAGUUUCCUUCACCACGCUUUAGUUGUUAACAUUUGCAAGAAGUUAAUUUAAACAACAAAGGCUAACUAUUCGUUUUUUAAGGCCAUAAAACAGCUGAAAGUAGCUUUCUCUCCUUAAUGGGCUCUUGAGAACAGGAAGAUGAUAAGGUCAAAACAAGAACGUGGAGGUCGCGAUACGUUUCAUUUUUGUGACAUGGUUCGCCUUUUGACCGUUUCAUAUCUUUAUGACAUUUAUAUGCGCAGUCCAUCUGAAUGUUUUUUGUGUUUCCAUAUUUAAUUAAAUACCAUGUAUUCCUAUUACAUGUCUAAAUCAUUAUUUGAAAAAAGUAUUUGUGUUUAUGUCUUUACUAAUAACUAGCGAACCGUUUGACUGAUUGUCACCAAACUUGGCAGGGACUCUUCAGGAUCCCAGGAGACUAACGUAGGAGAGGUUGACGUUCGGAUCUGUCACCCCCCCCCCUCCUCUCGCCUAUGUCUUUCCCGUGCGUUGGACGGAAUGCUGACCAGACGAAGAACAACAAGCCAAAAACCUCGUCGCCUACACGGUUACUCAUCAACCAAGAGUCGGAUUCUAUCUUCCACAUUUUGACCAUGCCCUCAGCUAAAAAUGCAGUACGUGUUCAGAAGCAUAUCGGAAGCGCUAAUCUUGGCCCUUUGGCAUGCUAACCAAUACGUUAUGCCGGGUAUGCGGUAUUAUUUGGUCCAUAUUUUGUACAAUUUCAGAUUACAAAUAUUGAUUAAGAGAUGUUUUUUCUACUGAUUUGAUUCUCAUUAGUACUGGAUAAAAUAAAAUAAAAACAACUUGCACUGUA
Long non-coding RNA from Limulus polyphemus (Atlantic horseshoe crab), 1283 nucleotides. RefSeq lists it as uncharacterized. The transcript has 2 exons. The record is from RefSeq and is a predicted model, not a curated record. Lineage: Eukaryota; Metazoa; Arthropoda; Merostomata; Xiphosura; Limulidae.